GGAGUCUAGCGUGUGCGCGAGUCACUGGGCAAUUGUUUAAACCCAAAGGCGAAAUGAAAGUGAAUACGUGGCUUCUCUUCACGGGGAAGCUUUCGUAUAGGGAGGAUGGGCGAGACUUGCGCUCGCCUCGCACUCCCGGGGCGUCCGUUUCUCAUUGCGAGAAAGGGCGCACCUAGAGCGUACACGCUGGGACCCGAAAGAUGGUGAACUAUGCCUGGUCAGGACGAAGUCAGGGGAAACCCUGAUGGAGGUCCGUAGCGAUUCUGACGUGCAAAUCGAUCGUCGGAACUGGGUAUAGGGGCGAAAGACUAAUCGAACCAUCUAGUAGCUGGUUCCCUCCGAAGUUUCCCUCAGGAUAGCUGGCUCUCGGAGGUGUGAGUUUCAUCCGGUAAAGCGAAUGAUUAGAGGCAUUGGGGACGAAACGUCCUCAACCUAUUCUCAAACUUUAAAUGGGUGAGAUCUCCGGCUUUAUUCUUAAACUUGAAGCCGCGAGACACUUAACUUUUUAUGAAUCUAGAGUGCCAAGUGGGCCAUUUUUGGUAAGCAGAACUGGCGUUGUGGGAUGAACCAAACGCAGAGUUAAAGCGCCUAAAUAGACGCUUAUGAGAUACCAUGAAAGGCGUUGGUAACUUAAGACAGCAGGACGGUGGCCAUGGAA
This 658-nucleotide ribosomal RNA is filed under the name Malthininae sp. UPOL 001312. RNAcentral describes it as "eukaryotic LSU rRNA". It matches the Rfam family "Eukaryotic large subunit ribosomal RNA", at positions 670 to 1259 of the family's 3401-position model. Lineage: Eukaryota; Metazoa; Arthropoda; Insecta; Coleoptera; Cantharidae. The record is from RNAcentral.